Molecule: ribosomal RNA, 253 nt
Filed under: uncultured bacterium
Lineage: Bacteria
Description: partial 16S ribosomal RNA
Rfam family: Bacterial small subunit ribosomal RNA
Source: RNAcentral
UACAGGGGUGGCUAGCGUUGUUCGGAUUUACUGGGCGUAAAGGGUGCGUAGGCGGCUUCGUUAGUCGAAUGUGAAAGACCGUCGCUCAACGACGGAAGUGCAUUGGAAACUGCGAGGCUUGAGUGCAGGAGGGGAGAGCGGAAUUCCUGGUGUAGCGGUGAAAUGCGUUGAGAUCAGGAAGAACGCCGGUGGCGAAGGCGGCUCUCUGGAAUGUAACUGACGCUGAGGCACGAAAGCCAGGGGAGCAAACAGG